Molecule: unclassified non-coding RNA, 1448 nt
Filed under: Octopus sinensis (East Asian common octopus)
Lineage: Eukaryota; Metazoa; Mollusca; Cephalopoda; Octopoda; Octopodidae
Description: uncharacterized protein DDB_G0271670, transcript variant X4
Source: RNAcentral
CUCUUGUUUAUAUAAAUAUCUCGUGAACUAACCAACACUAGCGAAAGAUUGUUUUGAAAAAGAUUUAAUUUAUCGGUUGUUUACAAAUAUUAAUUGGUAUUAAUAACUGAAAGAUGAGUUUUGGAUCUUCAAUUUAGCACCUGUUACGAUUAGUUACUGUCAAAGUUCCAGCAUGCUGCUGUCAAUUCUGUCAGUGCUAACAGCUGUUUCAACUUGCAUCAUACCAGCAUCUGGGCAGCAAACAUGUCAGACUGAAAUUCUACAGAACAGUACAGUUGAUAUUGACAAAUAUUUAAACAACGAAUUUCACAUUCUUGCUACAUUCGCCACACCGCCCCCAGAUGCUCUUUCAAAUUGCAUACUUCGAUGUUGUAAUCAAAGUAACUGCUCAUUGGCAAUUCAUAAUGCCACUGAUAACCAUACGUGCACUCUGAUUCAUUGUGUAUCUGAAGAUGCCUGUAAACCAAUUCCAUCUGAUGGGAGUGAAAUAGUAAAAACUAUUAGAAAUAACAUCACAACCACAGAAAGUUUAUCUGAAAACCAAAGUCAGACCACUGAAUCAACUUCGGAUACUUCCACAACUGCAUCUGGAAUCGGUUUGUCAACAAGUAGCAGAGGUGACCAUUCCACUUCUUCACAGCAAUCCACAACUCAAGAUUAUAAUGAUUUUUUAACAUCAAAUAUUGGUUACCCAAUUACUGAAACAUCUCAAUCAACCAAUGAAGUUUUGUCAACCACUCUUAGUGUUUCCACCAGCUCAGUUCCAUCCGGUCAGGAUCAAACCUCAACAACUGAAAGUACAUCAUUACAAAAUACAGACAUAUUUUCUACUAUCCCUGCAAACACCACCAAUCAAAAUUCUAUAUUUAGUAGCACCUCACCCAGUAAUUCUACAAGCAGCUCUUCCAACAUGACCACCACCAACCCUGAAGGAACGACUACCAAUUAUAAUAAUUUUACUGAAAGUUUCAAUACAACAACAACAACUACACUUAUAAACAAUGCAACCGAGAGUUCGAAUUAUACAAUAAUGUCUGUAACUCCAAAUCUGUCAGAGAAUGGAAAUGUCAGUGUAACAGAUGAUGUGAAUGUUACAUUUUCUCAGAGUAACGACACAGAAAACUCUACAAUAGAUGAUUCUACUGAAAGUUUCUAUACAACACAGCUACACUUAUAAAGAAUGAAAGUGAUAUUGUGAAUUAUACAAGUACUUAUUCUUAUCCUAAUUCAUCAAAUGAUAAAUAUAUGAACGUAACCAUAGAUGAGAAUACCACAUUUUUUCAGAGUAAUAACACCGUAAACUCUACAAUAGAUUCUAACCUCAACCAAAAUGUCACUUCCUCCAAACAAGAAACUUAUUUGAAAAAUGAAGCAGAUUCAAACAAUACGCUUAUGAUAACGGUUCUAAUUGGGACUUUAUCAGUUGGAACUCUUCUCUUUGUUGCCGU